GACGAACGCUGGCGGCGUGCCUAAUACAUGCAAGUCGAACGCUUAAGGAGGAGCUUGCUUCUCUGGAUGAGUUGCGAACGGGUGAGUAACGCGUAGGUAACCUGCCUGGUAACGGGGGAUAACUAUUGGAAACGAUAGCUAAUACCGCAUAAUAUUGACUAUUGCAUGAUAGUCAGUUGAAAGGUGCAACUGCACCACUACCAGAUGGACCUGCGUUGUAUUAGCUAGUUGGUGGGGUAACGGCUCACCAAGGCGACGAUACAUAGCCGACCUGAGAGGGUGAUCGGCCACACUGGGACUGAGACACGGCCCAGACUCCUACGGGAGGCAGCAGUAGGGAAUCUUCGGCAAUGGACGGAAGUCUGACCGAGCAACGCCGCGUGAGUGAAGAAGGUUUUCGGAUCGUAAAGCUCUGUUGUAAGAGAAGAACGAGUGUGAGAGUGGAAAGCUCACACUGUGACGGUAUCUUACCAGAAAGGGACGGCUAACUACGUG
RNAcentral lists this ribosomal RNA (495 nucleotides) under uncultured bacterium. RNAcentral's name for it is "partial 16S ribosomal RNA". It matches the Rfam family "Bacterial small subunit ribosomal RNA", at positions 28 to 507 of the family's 1533-position model. The record is from RNAcentral.